UACAGACGGGAAAAAUGUUCUGCACUAGCCGCCUUCGCCUUGCCGGCCCGCAAGAUGCCUCUUCACGCCUCGAAAAGAGACGUGAAGCGAGCGACGUAUUGCCACGAUAGGGAUGGGCAAAGUAUGGAGGCGUUUUCCCCCGGGCAUUGGUUUAACAGCCGUCUCCACUGGACCAACACCCAUCGCGGCAAUACUCGCUCGGGCACUGGCUGUACGCUGGCUGACCUCGAAACGCGGCUGCAAGCCACUUCACGAGUUUUUCACCAUGCGUACGGUGGUAACAAGCCAGGCG
Long non-coding RNA from Nymphalis io (European peacock), 292 nucleotides. RefSeq lists it as uncharacterized. NCBI's taxonomy places the organism in Eukaryota, Metazoa, Arthropoda, Insecta, Lepidoptera, Nymphalidae. The record is from RefSeq and is a predicted model, not a curated record. The transcript has 3 exons.